AGCCCCGCCCAGCUGUUACUUAGGGUCAUAAGCCUCACCCAUCCCAAAGAACCCACAGAAGAUAUGCUUCCCGCCCAAUUGUUGCUUACAGGGAAAGACAAAUGUGUAGUCUCCUGGUAGCCAUCUUGGGAAUUCCUCACUCACGCCACCCAGAGGCUGUAAUAGGAACGCAGCUUCAGUUGGAAACUUGUCACUACUCUCCACCUCAAUCGUCAGCCAACGUAAACGAUACUUGGUUCAGUUAAUCGACAAGGAAAUAAAUCCUGAGCAGAAGACAGUCAAUUCUGCAGUCUCUCUGGCCCAGAAGCAAUGGGAUAACUAGUAACAUCCCCUACAGAGGCAACAGAGAGCAGCCAGAUGAAAAGCCUCCUUGCAAGGAAUGAGAAAGUAGCUGAGGGACGUUGCAGUGGACAGGAGAGACACUUCUACGCUUCUCUCAAAACACACUACUGGCCUUCAUCUUGUCCACUCCUCACCACCCUCCAUCACAAGUUUUCCUCACACAUGGUAUCUCAAAAAGAUUUGAGGGAAUGGGAAACUGAAAGAAUGCUGAAGCUCAAAUAUGUUUCCUGUAAUUUUAAUGGACGCUCUUAUUUAAAGAGGAAAAACUGAUCAGAUGAUGCAAACAGCUCUGGAAGAACUGUCCCACUCAAACCAUUGAUGGUCAACUAGCCUCAGCAUGGAGAUACUCUGUCCCAGCACUGAAAAGGAGUAGUUUGUGCAGGUUCUUCCUUACUGAACCCUGACUUGGAAAGCUCAGUACAACCACAAAGCCAAAGAGGAAAGGGAUGGGGGGGGGAUGAGUAAUUUUCCCCAUUAAACUUCAUUGCAACUAACUGAGUAAAGUAGGAUAUGUACCAGCCAUUGUUAAUGGUUUCACUGUGUUCUUAAAACUGGAAUACCUGCCUCGUGGGUGUGAUAUUUGCUAGAGAAAUGAUACAGGUAACAUUCUCUCGCCAAGCAUGGCUGCUACUUGAUUUCCCUCGAUGCAGAAGAUGAUCACAUUGUCCCAACUCUAUGGAGAGUUUUCAAGAAUAAUGUACUCUUCACAGUGUGACUUCAGAAGCAAGCAGUAUCACACACACCCCUCCCUCCCUCCCUCCCUCCCUCCCACAUGUGAAUAUUUGGGGCAGUAUGUGGGGGAAGAAUCUUCGGACAGCAGCACUACAUACAAAACAUGACUAAGAAAACACAAACUGCUUGCAAAGGUGGUUAUGGAACUUAUAUGGAUCUGCAAACGGAGAUAAUAUCAGUCCAAUCCAACACCUACCUACCUCCAUCUCCCUUAAUCAAGGCAGUCCUUAGCAGCAGCAUGAAAAUUCCAGGCAUUUGAACAAUGGUUACAAUUUCAAGUUACGUACACUUCAGCAAUCCUUCUUUGGUUCCCUGGUUGAACAAUAAAGGACCACUGGCUUUUGCAAACGUU
Rhineura floridana is the source of this 1426-nucleotide long non-coding RNA. RefSeq lists it as uncharacterized. The transcript is spliced from 4 exons. The record is from RefSeq and is a predicted model, not a curated record. NCBI's taxonomy places the organism in Eukaryota, Metazoa, Chordata, Lepidosauria, Squamata, Rhineuridae.